RNAcentral lists this ribosomal RNA (274 nucleotides) under uncultured bacterium. RNAcentral's name for it is "partial 16S ribosomal RNA". It matches the Rfam family "Bacterial small subunit ribosomal RNA", at positions 523 to 796 of the family's 1533-position model. The record is from RNAcentral.
AUACAGAGGGUGCGAGCGUUAAUCGGAAUUACUGGGCGUAAAGCGCGCGUAGGCGGUCUAUUAAGUCAGAUGUGAAAUCCCAGGGCUCAACCUUGGAACUGCAUCUGAUACUGAUAGACUAGAGUUUUGGAGAGGGAAGUAGAAUUUCAGGUGUAGCGGUGAAAUGCAUAGAGAUCUGAAGGAAUACCAGUGGCGAAGGCGACUUCCUGGCCAAAAACUGACGCUGAGGUGCGAAAGCGUGGGUAGCAAACGGGAUUAGAAACCCCAGUAGUCC